AAGUAUUUAAUCUAAAUAGGAUUAUUAAUUUCGACUUAAUAAAUUUUGGUUAAAGUCCAAAAAUACUUU
RNAcentral lists this transfer RNA (69 nucleotides) under Onychodactylus zhangyapingi. Its description in RNAcentral is "tRNA-Arg". It matches the Rfam family "tRNA". Rfam says of the family: Transfer RNA (tRNA) molecules are approximately 80 nucleotides in length. The record is from RNAcentral. Lineage: Eukaryota; Metazoa; Chordata; Amphibia; Caudata; Hynobiidae.